CAAGGGGAGGGGCAGAGGGAGAGGGAGAAGCAGACUUCCUGCUGAGCAAGAAGCCUCAUGUGGGGCUCAAUCCCAGGACCCUGAGAUCAUGACCUGAGCCAAAAGGAAGAGUUGGACGCUUUAGCAACCCAGCCACCCAGAGUUUACUGCCAGGCACCCGUCACGACAUAAGUGUCCCGUCUCUGCUCCCCUGCCCCCAUGAUGAUUGAUGAUGAGAUUAGGGCUGCUAAGGCCCUCCUGCUUCUUCAGUGCACAUUUAAAAUGGAUCUCAAGGCUCUUUCUAAGGGGGCCCUGCCAGGUAAGCAAUAUCCAUGGGUUCCCUUUGUGAACAGUUGCUUCAUAAUUGCUGUUUUUGCCUUCAGAAUUUAGUAUUUUAUCCUGUAGGACUUAAGGAAUACAAAGAAAGAAGCUGCUUUUAGAAUAUUAGUCUUGUGGCUCUGUCAUGACUCUGAGCCUUUCAUGGGGAUCUGGGAAAUGAAAAGCAAGCAGGCUUCAUGUUCUAGGAAACUGAGAUCUGAUUUUAGGAAAUAUAAGAAAAAUUGAACUGUUAGGCCUGAAUGGCUCUGGUACUUUCAGUACCUUGCUUCAUCAAACUUAGCCUUUAUUGGUGUCUUAUUUUUGUAUUGUUUUGGAUCAGAA
Molecule: long non-coding RNA, 639 nt
Organism: Mirounga angustirostris (Northern elephant seal)
Lineage: Eukaryota; Metazoa; Chordata; Mammalia; Carnivora; Phocidae
Exons: 2
Source: RefSeq, a predicted model, not a curated record